GGCGGCAUAGCCAAGCGGUAAGGCAUGGGUCUGCAAAACCUUGAUUCGCCAGUUCAAAUCUGGCUGCCGCCU
This 72-nucleotide transfer RNA is filed under the name Ezakiella coagulans. RNAcentral describes it as "Bacteroides coagulans tRNA". It matches the Rfam family "tRNA". Rfam says of the family: Transfer RNA (tRNA) molecules are approximately 80 nucleotides in length. Their secondary structure includes four short double-helical elements and three loops (D, anti-codon, and T loops). The record is from Rfam by way of RNAcentral. Lineage: Bacteria; Bacillati; Bacillota; Tissierellia.